AUUGAACGCUGGCGGCAUGCUUUACACGUGCAAGUCGAACGGCAGCGCGGGCUUCGGCCUGGCGGCGGGUGGCGAACGGGUGAGUAAUACAUCGGAACGUGCCCAGUAGUGGGGGAUAGCUCGGCGAAAGCCGGAUUAAUACCGCAUACGACCUGAGGGUGAAAGCGGGGGAUCUUCGGACCUCGCGCUAUUGGAGCGGCCGAUGGCAGAUUAGCUAGUUGGUGGGGUAAAGGCCUACCAAGGCGACGAUCUGUAGCUGGUCUGAGAGGACGACCAGCCACACUGGGACUGAGACACGGCCCAGACUCCUACGGGAGGCAGCAGUGGGGAAUUUUGGACAAUGGGCGAAAGCCUGAUCCAGCAAUGCCGCGUGUGUGAUGAAGGCCUUCGGGUUGUAAAGCACUUUUGGCGGGAACGAAAAGGACUGUGCCAAUACCACGGUUCGAUGACGGUACCCGCAGAAUAAGCACCGGCUAACUACGUG
This 484-nucleotide ribosomal RNA is filed under the name uncultured bacterium. RNAcentral's name for it is "partial 16S ribosomal RNA". It matches the Rfam family "Bacterial small subunit ribosomal RNA", at positions 29 to 507 of the family's 1533-position model. The record is from RNAcentral.